UGCUCUACCAAAUACCCCCACACUUAGCCUUUUGCUUGUCCUCAAGCAAAUAAACAUAGUCAAAUAAGCUUUCUCACUCUAGAUCCUUAUUUCCACUUAAACUCUUACUCUAGACCCCUAUUUUGAAUCAUUGCAGUGAAGAAUAUAUGCAUGAAGAUUACUCACCUUCUUUCCUUGUUUCCCUUUACUUACCAUGGCUAGGAUUUGUUUUCCUCAAGAGAGACCAUACAUGCACAUUUUUAUUAAGACUUUUUCUAACUUUUGGAUUGACUUGCCCUUACCUUGAAGUACUUUAUUCAGGCUUUUGCGCUUUAGAUCUCGCUUGGAAAGGUCACCAACCUAUUUUUGAUUUGAAGGUUUAUAUUUUUCAGUUGGUCAN
RNAcentral lists this long non-coding RNA (379 nucleotides) under Manihot esculenta (cassava). RNAcentral's name for it is "long non-coding RNA (MESC_LNC011469)". Lineage: Eukaryota; Viridiplantae; Streptophyta; Magnoliopsida; Malpighiales; Euphorbiaceae. The record is from RNAcentral.